RNAcentral lists this long non-coding RNA (474 nucleotides) under Manihot esculenta (cassava). RNAcentral describes it as "long non-coding RNA (MESC_LNC010468)". The record is from RNAcentral. Lineage: Eukaryota; Viridiplantae; Streptophyta; Magnoliopsida; Malpighiales; Euphorbiaceae.
AGGAUGCGCUGCCACUGAGCCACCGUUGAGCCGAAAUGAAGUGUAAUGGAGAGGAGGAAAGUCUUCACUGUGAGUACCCUUGGAAGUCCUUAACGAUGCUCUGAUAUUUCCAUCGGAAAAAAAAAAAUCUGAACUACUGCAUUCCGGAUACCCCAAACCAUAACCUUGUGUUUGGAUCCUGCAAGAGAAAUAGAGAAAUUAAAUAAUAGAGAGAUUAAAGAAUUAGAGAAGAAAAGAAUUUUGAUUUAUCUUGGAUAAAGGAGUAGUUUAGAGUAGAAAUCAAAUUUCUUGUAGAGAAGAUAUAUAAGCGUUGCAUACCUAUUUCCCUCCCUUUCCUUUUGCCACCAAAUUGGGAGAAAUUUGUAAUAAACUGGGAAAUGCUAGUGUUUUUUCCUUUUAUUUUUGGUGAUACUAAGCUAAUUAAUGAGAACGAGAUAUUCAUAAAUGAACCUAAGCUAAACUAAUCUUUGCUCG